UCAACCUUGGUUUUUCGAUAGUAGAGCAACCAAUAAUGUUACCAACAAUCUACAAAAUUUGGAAAUUUCUCAACCUGUUCAUGAGACUGAAGGUGUUUUGGUUGGCAAUGGCACUUGUCUUCAAGUGACACACACUGGACAAGACUACUCACAAGAUUCUCUACCAGGGGCCAUGUCACAAGGGGCUCUAUCCACUUUUGAGCAAGUUUAAAAGUCCACUUUCACUUUCUCAGCAAUCUUCCACAGCUUUUGUGAGUUCUGUUUCUUCUUUUGCUGAGUUGUGGCAUAGGAGACUUUGUCAUCCCAGUCCUCCUUUGUUCAAUGCUUUAAUAAAACAACUUAGUAUACCUGUGUCCAAGUCUGUUUUGUUGAAUUGUUCAUGUUGUAAUAUGGCCAAGAGUCAUAAACUGCAAUUUCCUUUGUCUGUGUCUCAAACUACUGCACCCUUUCAACUUGUUCACAUGGAUGUUUGGGAACCUUCACCACUCCCUUCUAAUAAAGGUUUUCGUUA
This is a long non-coding RNA of Rhododendron vialii, 511 nucleotides long. RefSeq lists it as uncharacterized. The record is from RefSeq and is a predicted model, not a curated record. The transcript has 2 exons. NCBI's taxonomy places the organism in Eukaryota, Viridiplantae, Streptophyta, Magnoliopsida, Ericales, Ericaceae.